AUGCAAACCGAAGAACCUUACCUGGGUUUGACAUGUGCGUGUUACUGAGGUGAAAGCCGAGGGACCAUAUCUUCGGAUGUGGAGCGUACACAGGUGCUGCAUGGCUGUCGUCAGCUCGUGUCGUGAGAUGUUGGGUUAAGUCCCGCAACGAGCGCAACCCUGCAUUCAGUUGCCAACGGUAAGGCCGGGCACUCUGGAUGGACUGCCGGCGACAAGCCGGAGGAAGGUGGGGAUGACGUCAAGUCAUCACGGCCCUUAUGUCCAGGGCGACACACGUGCUACAAUGGCCGGCACAGCGGGAAGCGAGGGGGCGACCUUGAGCGGAUCCCUCAAAGCCGGUCUCAGUUCGGAUUGCAGUCUGCAACUCGACUGCAUGAAGUUGGAAUCGCUAGUAAUCGUGGAUCAGCCAAGCCGCGGUGAAUACGUUCCCGGGCCUU
Molecule: ribosomal RNA, 437 nt
Filed under: uncultured Thermovirga sp.
Lineage: Bacteria; Thermotogati; Synergistota; Synergistia; Synergistales; Thermovirgaceae
Description: bacterial SSU rRNA
Rfam family: Bacterial small subunit ribosomal RNA
Source: RNAcentral